This 211-nucleotide ribosomal RNA is filed under the name uncultured bacterium. Its description in RNAcentral is "partial 16S ribosomal RNA". It matches the Rfam family "Bacterial small subunit ribosomal RNA", at positions 524 to 735 of the family's 1533-position model. The record is from RNAcentral.
UACGGAGGGUGCGAGCGUUGUCCGGAAUCACUGGGCGUAAAGGGCGCGUAGGUGGCGCAGGAAGUCAACGGUGAAAGUUCGGGGCUCAACCCUGAAUCGGCCGUCGAUACUCCUGGGCUCGAGCACUGUAGAGGCAGAUGGAAUUCCGGGUGUAGCGGUGGAAUGCGUAGAGAUCCGGAAGAACACCGGUGGCGAAGGCGGUCGCUGGGCA